RNAcentral lists this ribosomal RNA (119 nucleotides) under Pteropus alecto (black flying fox). The record is from RNAcentral. Lineage: Eukaryota; Metazoa; Chordata; Mammalia; Chiroptera; Pteropodidae.
GUCUACGUCCAUACCACCCUGAACAAGCCCGAUCCCGUCUGAUCUCGGAAGCUAAGCAGGGUCAGGCCUGGAUAGUACUUGGAUGGGAGACCACCUAGGAAGACUGGGUGCUGUGGGCA